Caenorhabditis elegans is the source of this 146-nucleotide non-coding RNA. The record is from Ensembl. Lineage: Eukaryota; Metazoa; Nematoda; Chromadorea; Rhabditida; Rhabditidae.
ACAUAAUUGGCACAUAUACUGCUCUUUAGGCAUCUUGAGUAUUGAAUCGAGAUACGUCAAAAGUGCUAGUGUACUUGGUCCCAAAAGAGGCGUGGCCAUAGAACAGUGCGUGGACCAAUCGACAUUCGGCUUCAAAGAAAUAGAAC